RNAcentral lists this ribosomal RNA (377 nucleotides) under uncultured bacterium. RNAcentral's name for it is "bacterial SSU rRNA". It matches the Rfam family "Bacterial small subunit ribosomal RNA", at positions 523 to 898 of the family's 1533-position model. The record is from RNAcentral.
AUACGUAGGUGGCGAGCGUUGUCCGGAAUUACUGGGUGUAAAGGGCGUGUAGGCGGGGAUGCAAGUCAGAUGUGAAAUACCGAGGCUUAACCUCGGGGCUGCAUCUGAAACUGUGUUUCUUGAGUGUCGGAGAGGAAAGUGGAAUUCCCAGUGUAGCGGUGAAAUGCGUAGAGAUUGGGAGGAACACCAGUGGCGAAGGCGGCUCUCUGGACGACAACUGACGCUGAGGCGCGAAAGCGUGGGGAGCAAACAGGAUUAGAUACCCUGGUAGUCCACGCCGUAAACGAUGGAUACUAGGUGUAGGAGGUAUCGACCCCUUCUGUGCCGGAGUUAACACAAUAAGUAUCCCACCUGGGGAGUACGGCCGCAAGGUUGAA